AUCCUUUCUGGUUCAUAAAGCAUGAUGGUUGGGUGCUAUUGCGGGGAUAUGUGCCGCCCACUAAACCUUGUUACGACGUGGGCACAUUACCUGUCUGACA
This is a small nucleolar RNA of Mastomys coucha (southern multimammate mouse), 100 nucleotides long. RefSeq annotates it as small nucleolar RNA U13. Lineage: Eukaryota; Metazoa; Chordata; Mammalia; Rodentia; Muridae. The transcript has a single exon. The record is from RefSeq and is a predicted model, not a curated record.